Molecule: ribosomal RNA, 426 nt
Filed under: uncultured bacterium
Lineage: Bacteria
Description: bacterial SSU rRNA
Rfam family: Bacterial small subunit ribosomal RNA
Source: RNAcentral
UGGGGGAAUAUUGCACAAUGGGCGAAAGCCUGACCCAGCAACGCCGCGUGAGGGAAGAAGGGUUUCGGCUCGUAAACCUCUGUCCUAUGGGACGAAGGAAGUGACGGUACCAUAGGAGGAAGCCCCGGCUAACUACGUGCCAGCAGCCGCGGUAAUACGUAGGGGGCGAGCGUUGUCCGGAAUGAUUGGGCGUAAAGGGCGCGUAGGCGGCCUGAUAAGUCUGGAGUGAAAGUCCUGCUUUCAAGGUGGGAAUUGCUUUGGAUACUGUUGGGCUGGAGUGCAGGAGAGGAAAGCGGAAUUACCGGUGUAGUAGUGAAAUGCGUAGAUAUCAGGAAGAACACCGGAGGCGAAGGCGGCUUACUGGACGAUAACUGACGUUGAGGCUCGAAAGCGUGGGGAGCAACCAGGAUUAGAUACCCUGGUAGU